RNAcentral lists this ribosomal RNA (464 nucleotides) under uncultured Klebsiella sp. RNAcentral describes it as "bacterial SSU rRNA". It matches the Rfam family "Bacterial small subunit ribosomal RNA", at positions 338 to 795 of the family's 1533-position model. The record is from RNAcentral. Lineage: Bacteria; Pseudomonadati; Pseudomonadota; Gammaproteobacteria; Enterobacterales; Enterobacteriaceae.
CCUACGGGGGGCAGCAGUGGGGAAUAUUGCGCAAUGGGCGCAAGCCUGAUGCAGCCAUGCCGCGUGUGUGAAGAAGGCCUUCGGGUUGUAAAGCACUUUCAGCGGGGAGGAAGGCGGUGAGGUUAAUAACCUCAUCGAUUGACGUUACCCGCAGAAGAAGCACCGGCUAACUCCGUGCCAGCAGCCGCGGUAAUACGGAGGGUGCAAGCGUUAAUCGGAAUUACUGGGCGUAAAGCGCACGCAGGCGGUCUGUCAAGUCGGAUGUGAAAUCCCCGGGCUCAACCUGGGAACUGCAUUCGAAACUGGCAGGCUAGAGUCUGGUAGAGGGGGGUAGAAUUCCAGGUGUAGCGGUGAAAUGCGUAGAGAUCUGGAGGAAUACCGGUGGCGAAGGCGGCCCCCUGACAAAGACUGACGCUCAGGUGCGAAAGCGUGGGGAGCAAACAGGAUUAGAUACCCGAGUAGUC